GUCAAGUGGGUUGGGUCGGACCAAUCCAAAACCGGCCCAUGUUAUUUAAUCGGGUUGAGGGUCGGACCAGGUACGGGUUGGGGUCUAAGUGGGCUGGGCCGGGCCGAGCCCAACAGUAAAAAAAUCAAAAAUCACCUUAAUCCGGCCCACUUAACCCAACCCGGUCAAACUCACCUAAACCCGGUCAAACCCAAUUAGAAAACCGGUCAAACCCGGUCAAAAAUAUAAAAAA
RNAcentral lists this long non-coding RNA (232 nucleotides) under Capsicum annuum. RNAcentral's name for it is "long non-coding RNA (CANN_LNC016373)". Lineage: Eukaryota; Viridiplantae; Streptophyta; Magnoliopsida; Solanales; Solanaceae. The record is from RNAcentral.